UGUGAUUCCUCUGGGGGAUUAAAGUCAGGAUCAUCUAAAGGCAGAGGGUGGACCAAGUCCCGUGCUCCUUUGUUUGCAGGGAACAAGGGAGCAAAAGCUAUCCUUUAAGGAUGCCUCCUGGCAUCUAGUUCCAUGUCAGGGCUUUGGUUACUCUCUGCUUACUCUGCUUAUUCCUGGGGGGGGGGGGGGGGUCCUGGAGCAGCCUCGAAGCUCGCAGGAAGUGAGCAGACCGUAGACAUUCUUGAACCAGGGUGCCACGCUUGCUCAGCUCAGUGGACGUACCUCAUCCUCCUUGUCUUGAUCCAUACAGCUUGAAUAUUCAUCUGUUAGACAUGCUUUGGCAGGCUGAUGGGGACCAUGAUGGCAGGGGAGUCAAAUUGAGACUCAGUGGGGCUUUCAAACCAAGCUUCUCCCUCCCUCUGCUUCAGCCACACCCCAGUGUGGUGCAACCCUGUCCUCAUGGGUCACCAGACUGGUGAAACCUGAACAGUUGGAGGCCAAAGGAAGCACUUGAUGACAAGAGGGUGGGGGAGGAGCUCCAAGGCUCUGUGGAAAAUUCCAUGAAACAGCACAGCUAGUGCUCUGUGGGGAAAGUACCAUGCUAUCUCCACAAGUGUCAGGCCUUCUAUUUUAUUUCUGUCACAAUUAUCUCCAGAACUGAACUCCAGGUAUCAUCAUGUUCUGGAAUGUGGAAGAGCUAGGAGAAAACAGAGUUCAAUGAUGAAUUUAACAAACAUGUAUUGACCACAGUCUUAGAUGUUGCCCCUGGAUGAGGCUGGCUCUUAACUCCUCCUCACUAAAGGCCUGCACUUGUAUUACUUCAUGCAAGCUUUACAAGGCUCCUCAGAGACUCCAGAACCCCUUUGUCCAGGCAAGGGAAGUGAAAUGCCUAAUAUUAUGUGACUUUGCAGAUAAAUGGCUGUGCUGCAAUUUGGACUUACAUGCAUUCAGCCAAGAACAGCAUUUAUUGUUGUUCUUUUUAGACAGGGUUUCACUAUGUAUACAGACUGACCUCAAACUCACAGAGAUGCACCUGCCUCUGCCUCUGGGAUUCAAGGUGUGCAGGACAA
Molecule: long non-coding RNA, 1070 nt
Filed under: Mus pahari (shrew mouse)
Lineage: Eukaryota; Metazoa; Chordata; Mammalia; Rodentia; Muridae
Description: predicted gene 13869 (MGP_PahariEiJ_G0005511.1)
Source: RNAcentral